RNAcentral lists this ribosomal RNA (592 nucleotides) under uncultured fungus. Its description in RNAcentral is "eukaryotic LSU rRNA". The stretch from base 228 to 381 matches the Rfam family "5.8S ribosomal RNA". The record is from RNAcentral. Lineage: Eukaryota; Fungi.
AAGUCGUAACAAGGUUUCCGUAGGUGAACCUGCGGAAGGAUCAUUACCGAGUGCGGGCCCUGUGGGCCCAACCUCCCACCCGUGUUUCGUUAUUACCUUGUUGCUUUGGCGGGCCCGCCGUUCCGGCCGCCGGGGGGCUUUCACGUCCCCGGGCCCGCGCCCGCCGAAGACACCCCCGAACGCUGCCUGAAGGUUGCAGUCUGAGUGAAUCAUGAUAAAUCAGUUAAAACUUUCAACAACGGAUCUCUUGGUUCCGGCAUCGAUGAAGAACGCAGCGAAAUGCGAUACGUAAUGUGAAUUGCAGAAUUCAGUGAAUCAUCGAGUCUUUGAACGCACAUUGCGCCCCCUGGUAUUCCGGGGGGCAUGCCUGUCCGAGCGUCAUUGCUGCCCUCAAGCCCGGCUUGUGUGUUGGGCCGUCGUCCCCCGACUCCCGGGGGACGGGCCCGAAAGGCAGCGGCGGCACCGCGUCCGGUCCUCGAGCGUAUGGGGCUUUGUCACCCGCUCCGUAGGCCCGGCCGGCGCCUCAGCCGACCCUCCAACCUUUAUUUCUCCAGGUUGACCUCGGAUCAGGUAGGGAUACCCGCUGAACUUA